Molecule: unclassified non-coding RNA, 200 nt
Filed under: soil metagenome
Description: partial contains internal transcribed spacer 2 and large subunit ribosomal RNA
Source: RNAcentral
CUGCCGUGGUCUGUAACGGCUCGUCUGAAAUGCCUGAGUGUACCCCGCUUUGCGGCGUAUUCGGUGUGAUACAUCUUCACCGGAGUUGAUCCUUUGGGAUCGCGUCUGUAUCUGUGUGGCUCUAUGCUUCCAACCGUCCUUUAUUGGACAAUGUCUGACAAUUUGACCUCAAGUCGGGUGGGACUACCCGCUGAACUUAA